UAACUCCUUUCGAUGAGACCAAACUCAUCAGAAAGGAAAUCUUUUAGCUUAAUGAAUGAAUCACAGCCCAGCAUAGGGAGAAAGUGAAGAGAGCCUCCCCGGUUCAGAGGCAUGUUCUUGCACAGGAAAUUUGCCAGGGAAUCGCUGCAACAUUAAGAAGAGCCUGCCACAAGAUGACAAUUCAGAGUACAGAUUCUUUCAUAAGAAGCGUAUCUUCUAGGAGAAUGAAAACCAAGCAAAAAGAGAAAUCAAAGGUACAUGCUAAGAGGCUAUCACAUACAAGUUCAUCAUAUUGCAUAACUAUGCAAACACAAACUAAUGCAAUUAGAAGAAAGACAGUACAAUGAGUAUAGAUAAGUAUGCAACCACUGGCAUCCUCAUAAGACUUUUGAAGUGGCCCCAAGCAACUAACACUUCAUCUCAGCCCACUUCAUGAAAAACAGAACAACGACUGGACUCAUAAAGGAUCCAGUUUAUGAACCAUUACCCUAGAAGUAAGAUGAUCAAAAUGCACUACAUGAAUAGCAUGAGGAUCAUAACAACAGGAGACAUCAUAGAAAAGUUGGAUGAUCGAUCUUGCUAACCAGAUCUGAGUGCAGCAGCAGAGAUGAAGGAAUCCCCAUCCCUCUUUUUUUUUUUUUUUUUUGAAUGUGUUUAGUGUCCCACUUCCUCCAGAGGAAGCAGGAGAGUCAAAAAAGAUAGCAGGUGGGAUAGGAUACGGAUAGCAUCUGAUUCCCAUGACCCAAUAUGAUUUACUGAGCAGUGGCUGAACUCCCACCAAGCAGGGUGAAACAUGAAAAAACUGACACAACUUAAGCAACAAUCAAAACGCCUAAAAUAUUGCUCCAGCAGGGUCCCUUUAUUAGGAAAUUCCACCAGAACUCACUCAGAGGAAAAUCCCAUUCCAUCAGGUCAAAAUAAAUUGCAGUGGGCACUUCCUAUGAAAUAUAUCUUAUAAGAACUCCAGUGGCUGUUCUUUUCUACUUUUUAGGAAAAAAAAGGUGCUGCCAUCCUAACCAACCCCCACCAAAAAGUAGCAGCUAACUACAAAUCCAUUUUAGACCUGGAAUAAAUCUACUUUUGAGCCUCAUUCCAGGUUAAGGGAAUAGUGAAAUGACACAGCAUUGUCAUGGAUUUGGCAUGCCAUUUAACAUGGAGCUGAAACUUCCAGAUGGAAAUAUGAUGUCACAAGGAAAUAGCAGUUGACAAGUUGAAUAGUUGCAUUUUAAUGGAUAUCUGAACCUAUACCGAUUAAAGCAAUGGAUUGGCCAAACUGCCAAACCAAAAGUAGCUGACACUAUUUGGUGUCAAUGCAAGAAUGAUACCAUAACCAAGGGAAAUCCACUACUUUGAGUGUCAUUGACAGUAAUUUAGUACUGGGAAACUAAAGUGGUGUCCAUGGCUUUACAGUAUUCUGAUAAACAAAUCUGUUGCCAUUUGCAUACUUUGGGGUUCAAUCCAAACCCACCUAUAGCAUUCGCAGAGUGAAAAUAUACAAUUUAUAAAUUUUCCUAGUGCUGACACCCUAUAUGAAGUGCUGCAUGUAUUCAUCUUGUUCAUGCAUGAAGAAUAUAU
Long non-coding RNA from Populus euphratica (Euphrates poplar), 1575 nucleotides. RefSeq lists it as uncharacterized. The record is from RefSeq and is a predicted model, not a curated record. Lineage: Eukaryota; Viridiplantae; Streptophyta; Magnoliopsida; Malpighiales; Salicaceae. The transcript has 2 exons.